ACUGCCCUAGUUCUAACCAUAAACGAUGCCAGCUAGCGAUCUGAGGACGUUUUUUUGUAGACUCCUCAGGAAGCUUCCGGGAAACCAAAGCGUGUGGGUUCCGGGGGAAGUAUGGUUGCAAAGCUGAAACUUAAAGGAAUUGACGGAAGGGCACCACCAGGAGUGGAGCCUGCGGCUUAAUUUGACUCAACACGGGAAAUCUCACCAGGCCCGGACACUGGAAGGAUUGACAGAUUGAGAGCUCUUUCUCGAUUCGGUGGGUGGUGGUGCAUGGCCGUUCUUAGUUGGUGGAGUGAUUUGUCUGGUUAAUUCCGAUAACGAACGAGACUCUGUCCUGCUAAAUAGUGUCAGCCUCUCUUUUGGGCUGACAAUUCUUCUUAGAGGGACUGGCGGCUCCUAGCCGCACGAGAUAGAGCAAUAACAGGUCUGUGAUGCCCUUAGAUGUUCUGGGCCGCACGCGCGCUACACUGAAUAGAUCAGCGUGUUCUCCCUUUCUGAGAAGAACGGGUAAACCGCUGAACCCUAUUCGUGGUAGGGAUCGGGGCUUGCAAUUAUUCCCCGUGAACCAGGAAUUCCCAGUAGGCGCGAGUCAUAAGCUCGCGUCGAUUACGUCCCUGCCCUUUGUACACACCGCCCGUCGCUAUUACCGAUUGAAUGGAUA
RNAcentral lists this ribosomal RNA (661 nucleotides) under uncultured eukaryote. Its description in RNAcentral is "SSU rRNA". It matches the Rfam family "Eukaryotic small subunit ribosomal RNA", at positions 1014 to 1699 of the family's 1831-position model. The record is from RNAcentral.